Molecule: long non-coding RNA, 32115 nt
Filed under: Vitis vinifera (wine grape)
Lineage: Eukaryota; Viridiplantae; Streptophyta; Magnoliopsida; Vitales; Vitaceae
Description: long non-coding RNA (VVIN_LNC001392)
Source: RNAcentral
GUGGUGGCUUCUCUCCCUUAGGUGGUUUGCCAACUGGGGUUGGUGGCUUGUAUGAGUCUUCAGCAUUCUCAGCAGGAGGGUGACCAGGGUUGUGACCAUAAUGUGGUGGCUUCUCUCCCUUAGGUGGUUUGCCAACUGGGGUUGGUGGCUUGUGUUCUGGGAGUGGCUUCUCCCCCUUGGGAGGUUUUUCCAAUGGGGUUGGUUUGUGUUCAGGAGGUGGCUUCUCCACUGGAGGCUUGUGUUCAGGAGGUGGCUUCUCCACCGGAGGCUUGUGUUCAGGUGGUGGCUUCUCCACCGGAGGCUUAUGCUCUGGUGGUGGCUUCUCGAAUGGGGGAUGCUUAGGAUAAUCAGCAAGUGAGGGGGCGGUGAGAACCACCAGGCCAAGCAACACCACUAGCAAAUAUGUAGGAGACAUCUUUGGGUUUGGGCUCAGAUGGUGCAAAACUAGGAGAAUUGGCUAGCCUUUUAUAGCGGAUCGUACCCAAUAAUGAAAUGACACGUGUCAUUAUGACCCAUGUGUAAUGGGGUCGAUUUGGGUCCUACAGUGUUGAAAACUUCGACAUCCACUUUUGGCCUUUUGCUUUCUCUACAGCCGCCUUGCUUUUUCCCUCUUUCCUUUUGUUUUCCUCCUGCCCCAUUCUAUCAACUAAACACAAUUAUGUAGUUGUUUAAUUCUUAAAUGAGAUAUUAUCCGUCAAUCGUAUUAUAUUUUAUCAAGAGAGAACGGAGUGCAAUGUGGCUGUAAUUUUAUCGUUUAGUUUUAUCUCUUGGACCACUGCAUUUUUGUUAAGAGGUGCAAUAAUACACGUCUUUAUCUGCCAUUCAAUAUUUACAGUAAAGAGAGGGCACAAAACUCUUCACUUCGCACCAUAAUUAUUUUGUUUUCUGGACACCCCGGGGCCCUUUGGUUGGUUUGGGGGUCAGAAAGUGAACAUCAUAGGGGGUUUUUCCCUUAUGUGCAUUUGUAUCUGAUGGCUUUAACUCGCCUUGUUACUACAAAGAAACUGUCACAGAUAGGAACUUAUUCCAGGCUGAGUAUCUCCUCAUAGACCCUAUAAAAGAAGACAAGUCAUAAUGAACAUCUAACCUUUGUUCAAUUUGAUUCAAUGCCCCCAUUGUGUCCAUCUCACAAAUCUGAAUUAUUAUAUCCAUUGAAUACAUAAAUUAAUGAAGAAAAUAUGAAACCCAAGAUACAUCUCUGCACAACCUCAACCCUGGUUGCUAUGUUUCCCUUCUAUUCACAUGAUUUGAUGCUAAUUGCCAAACUUGCAACAAGCCCUGAGUUUGACACCUAGUAUCGAUGGGCGAAUUUAAAGUCUCCUCCAAACAUAUAUUCCACAGCUUGAAGCUCACAGAAGAUGUUACAGGCAGGGAAAAACCUUCAGAGUUCGCUACCAAAGAUAAUUAUUAAGGAGAUAUCACAAAGAGAAUUCCAAGGGGUCUGAAUCAAAGACAAAUUGGUCGUUCGUGGGGGUUCUUACUUUCUUUUGGGUAUAACUCACUGAGGGCACUGUCUUUGUUAUUUGCAUUUCACAUUUAGAGUUCUGUUCUGGAAACAUAUAAAAGGAGCAUCAUUUUGUUCUUGGGUAACCCAUAGUCGUGAGUGGGUCCAUUUGCAUGCUACUUAGUUGAAAAGUUGGACCAUUUGCUCCGACGCCUACCUCCCGGAUUCCAUGCUCGGAUAAAACAAGAAUAAAAAAAAUAUUUAUAAUUUACAAAUGGGGGAAAGAAAAAAAUGUCAACAACAAACCAGGAAAAAAGAGUAGUAAAAUUCAUGUCACAUGCUAGUGAGAGAAGGGGUUGUUACACUCACUCGAAGUUCUUUCCAAAAUAUCGCAUGGUAUUUUAUUUUAUGUGUCAGCGCAGUUGUGAAUGGAACGUGCAAAAGUCCAAAUUGGCGUUUUUCCUUUUCCCGUGUAGGAUGGCGACCUUUAAUAAAUAUUUAAAACAAAAAACGAAAAAAAGGAGGGAAAAGGGAUCAGAAAAGAUAAAACAAUGUGUACAAGAGCUCAAUUAGUUUGCAAAUUACUGUUUGGAUUUUGAUAGUAUUUUAUUUGUCCAUCUAUAUUUGAUGGAAAAGAGAAUUUAAGAUAUUUCUGAAACAAAAGCAUUAGUGUAAAACUAAAUUAAGGUAUAAUUAAGUUAGUUCAAUGCAUUAAUUUAAGAAACUUGAUCUAUCCAAAGUACAAAAUUAGAUGAAAUCCAUUUCAAUGGUUAAAAUGAUCAAAAUCAAACUUUUUCUAAGUAUUUUUUAAAAGCAUCAAUAUUAAAAGACAAUUUUAUAUUUAGUCGGAGUUUGGACAAAACCAAAAAGCACACAAAAUCCAAGCGACCAUCUCUAGCUUGGAUAGUCACUUGAUCCCACCUAGAGAUGUGCAUGAGUAAAAGGAUUUGAAAAUGGAAAUUGACUAAAUAUUUAGUUGAUCAAUUAAAUUUGCAAUGUCAUAUGCAAUCCUAAUAGCUAGUCAUCUAAUCAAUUAGGUAGUCAAUCAAGUGUUUGUAAUGACUAUUUUGUACAAAAAACCACAUGUAUAGUUAAAUAUAAUGCAUUUCAUUUAUAAAUCUUCUAAUUCUUGAAUAACGAUCCUAUCAUCCUUUGAAAAUUUUUAUUACACCUUUUUUACUUUUGUUCUAAAACUUACAUAUCACCCUUAAUUGUACCAUGAGAACCUAGCUAUUUUUUUUUUUUUUGUAAUUCAUCAAAGUUAGCUUUUGUAUUCAUUGUUGUAUUAUUUUUAGUAUAACUUAGAAAGCUAGUGUUUUCAAGUGAGUAAAAUUAACUUGUAAAUAUUGUAAAGAUUCAUUGAUAUGUAUCUUAAACUAAGUGUACAAAUUAAAACAUUUGCUAGUAGAUUUUCUCAAAAUUUAGAAUAGAGCUUGAGGCUAUUGAAAUAGGUGGGGUUACACCAAACCACAUCACAUCGUUGUUUGCACCUUUUUUCACUCUCUUUUACUUAGUUUCUCUAUAUUUGUUGUCUAGUAAUAUCCUAUAGGCUUGAUGGGUUAGGGAGCAUCCCUUUGUGAAAAAAUUUCAUUCAAUUCUUAGUUGUAUUACGCAUAUAUAAAAUGCCUCAUUGUUUUAAUGGUAUUCAGUCGUGGCAUCACAGAUAUGGGCAUCUAAAUUUUAAAAGUUUGAAACUUUUGUAAAGCAUGUUGAUAAAAUCCAUGAGAGUUGUGUACUUGGGAAGCAACAUCGAGGUGACUUUAUUUUUUUUUCCUUUUAUAAUGCCACACCUAAGUCCGGUUUCUAAAUGCUAAAGUGAAAGGGUAGGUAUGGACCAUUGAAAUGUGAUCACAACUUUUGGCCUUUUCCUUUCUCUGCAGCCAUGUUGUCUCUUUUUUCUUUUGCAUGAUUUUCUUACCAAAACAGAAUCAUAGACUUGUUUAGUCUCUAAGCUACUAUAUUAUAUCUCGGUGGACUUUUAAGAGUGCAACCGACAUAGAGCACAUGCAAGUGGGCAUAUGGGACAUGAAAUUUCUUCUUACAAAGAUUGCAUGAUUUUUAUAUUAGAGUUGUUCACGUGCAAUGUAUUUAGCUUGUUUUGCAGUUAAAUUAAUUGGAUAAGUAAACAUUGGCAUUUCUAAAUCGACUGUGAAGUGCUUCAUGUACGUGUAAAGUAUUAGAAAUUUCUUUCUUGGCAACUUGUUUUUUCCUUGCCAUCUACUGGUAGGUUUGACUAAAAUUAUAUUCCCUGUCAUGCUAAUUAAUUUUCAUGUGCAUGCUCAAAAGAAGAGUAUGACCUUAGUGCACCAAAAUCACUUUGAUUAAUUUGUGAUAGGUUUUUUUGCAUCAUUUAGAUAAUGUUUAGUUCUAAGAAAAAUUUAUAUAAAAAUGGUUUAUUUAUCUUACAUAUAUAUAUAUAUAUAUAUAUUUUUUUUUUUUUCAUUUUUUUUUCUUCUAUUUUAUUUAUUUAUUUUAUUUUCCUUAUGUUUUCCUCACAUUUUCCGGAACUAAACAUAGUCUUACGAAAUCAACAAUUGCCUUCAACUGAGUAGAUUCUGUUGUUUUAGCAAUGUUAGGCUGCUAACUUGUGGUGGUACGAACCAAAUGACCCAUGUUAAUCUUGGCUUGGUUUGAUUUGGCUCUAUCUCAGAGAGCUAAAGGAUCACGUCAACUCUGGUUUCUACUAUUCAGGUCCAUUCCCAGAUGAACUGGUUCAAAUUUGAGAAAAUGGUAACAGACCUUUAGUGAUGUUGGUUUGGAGCCAGUUGCCAAACCCGCCCUGAGCUUUACCACUAAUGUCAAGGGAGAAAGCCAUUUGAACAAAAACAAUAGCUUCAAGAGACUGAAUCGUGGAUGAAAUCUGAUCCACAUUUCUUCUCAUUUUGGGAAAAAAUGAGAACUUAACUACAAAGAUUCUACUGCCUCAUUCAUAGUGCUUUUCCUGAUCCAAGGUUGGUUCGUUUCCCAAAUUGUGAGGUGCACGUGCCACUCUCACGCUCAGGAGUGUAUCCACGUGGUGGACAUCAGAUGGUGGCUUAAUAUCUGGUGUCGGUGGCUUUACUUUACUAGGAGAGUAGUGUGUCUUCAUCUCAUUCACUGCCGGAGGGUGGCGUAAGCAGUGACGCUAAGGUGGGGCACAGUCAAUAUCAUUUGCAUUUGACCAUUAUAGUUUUCUCCCGGCUUGAAAGUAACCUUAUCGUGAUAAAGGAUUACUAGCACUAGUUCAGAUGACCGUCAUGUUAAUUCGGACCAUGUUUGUGUCACAUUAUCAGCAACCAUGUGUUUAUGGUUCAUGCUAUCUGCAACUAAACUUGAUAUAUAACCAGGUGAACUUCAAUCAAAAUUCUGGAAGUACUCUUGUGAUAGAUGGUGCCUGUCUGCAGAGUCCAUCAAUUGAAAAAUGGAGUGAGUGUAUCUAUAAGAGGGAAGGCUUGGCAAAUGUUCAGUUUUCUGGGAAUUCAACAAGGAUCUAAAAUAGAUUGUUUUCUUUGCCGACUUCAAUGGUUGAAAUUUGAGAAGAUUGUGUCCACAUAUCACAACUAUUACUGGUCCUUCUGUUGCAAUUUAUCCUGUAAGGCUCUAACAUGUCUUCCAAUUCCCACUUCCCUGUUACUCCAGGAAAGCUAUUUCUGUCAUUGUGAAGAAGAAAAGAGAAUGUACAUAUCGAUGCUUUUAAGUGACUGGAGCAUUCAUAUCAGGUGGUCUGCAGCCAUAUAUGCCACUUUGUGAAGGUUGGAACAGUCAAUCACUAGGCUAUAUAUUGGUGUGGCCCAGCCACUUCAAUCAAGGACAAGUCUUCAUACUUAAAGUCAAAUUCUGCCUUUAGUCUCAUUAUAAAUUGCUGUUUAAAUAUUAAGCAAACUUUUGUUUAAUGCGAUUAAGACAGUACUAACUCAAUACUUGUUCUAUUUUUGGAUGCAAAUGCUUGAUGGUUUCAUCAUUGGAUGGGAUAAAGGUGCAUUCAUGAUUAUGAAUACUUGUAGUUAUAUUUUCAUUCUCUUUUUUCUCAAUGAGACUUGUUGGCACAAUGUUGCUGUUCAGAAACCUACCUCUCCAUGGAAAAUAAGUUGCGAUUGAUAGUACUGGAUAUGUUCAAGAAAGCUAAAUAUAGAUAGCACAAAAUAUUAUCGAUAUAAAUAGCAUUAACAGCGUACGUAUGUCUCAAUGCUCAUCAGCUAUAAGCAUGGGACAAACACUUACUAUGAGCAACUUACGUCAAAAUUCCAGAAUAGGACAUAGAAGUGACAGAUCUAUAUAUAUAGAACACUGCAUAUGAGUCACAAGAAAGGAAAUUACGGGUGCAUAGCAGCUCUUAUUUUACAUACUACUACUCAUACUGAUCAAAGUCACUCAGUUGGGAUGGGUGGGAGUAGGAGGUUUGUGGGGUGGCUUGUGCGGAGGAGUUGGCAGCUUCUUUCCAGGACCUGGUUGCUUCUCUGCUGGAGUUGAAGGAGGCUUAAUCUUCCGAGGUGGCUUGUAUGAGUCUUCAGCAUUCUCAGCUGGAGGGUGACCAGGGUUGUGACCAUAAUGUGGUGGCUUCUCUCCCUUAGGUGGUUUGCCAACUGGGGUUGGUGGCUUGUAUGAGUCUUCAGCAUUCUCAGCAGGAGGGUGACCAGGGUUGUGACCAUAAUGUGGUGGCUUCUCUCCCUUAGGUGGUUUGCCAACUGGGGUUGGUGGCUUGUGUUCUGGGAGUGGCUUCUCCCCCUUGGGAGGUUUUUCCAAUGGGGUUGGUUUGUGUUCAGGAGGUGGCUUCUCCACUGGAGGCUUGUGUUCAGGAGGUGGCUUCUCCACCGGUGGCUUGUGUUCAGGAGGUGGCUUCUCCACCGGAGGCUUAUGCUCUGGUGGUGGCUUCUCCACCGGAGGCUUAUGCUCUGGUGGUGGCUUCUUGAAUGGGGGAUGCUGAGGGUAAUCAGCAAGUGAGGGGGCGGUGAGAACCACCAGGCCAAGCAACACCACUAGCAAAUAUGUAGGAGACAUCUUUGGGUUUGGGCUCAGAUGGUGCAAAACUAGGAGAAUUGGCUAGCCUUUUAUAGCGGAUCGUACUCAAUAAUGAAAUGACACGUGUCAUUAUGACCCAUGUGUAAUGGGGUCGAUUUGGGUCCUACAGUGUUGAAAACUUCGACAUCCAGUUUUGGCCUUUUGCUUUCUCUACAGCCGCCUUGCUUUUUCCCUCUUUCCUUUUGUUUUCCUCCUGCCCCAUUCUAUCAACUAAACACAAUUAUGUAGUUGUUUAAUUCUUAAAUGAGAUAUUAUCGGUCAAUCGUAUUAUAUUUUAUCAAGAGAGAACGGAGUGCAAUGCAGCUGUAAUUUUAUCGUUUACUUUUAUCUCUUGGACCACUGCAUUUUUGUUAAGAGGUGCAAUAAUACACGUCUUUAUCUGCCAUUCAAUGUUUACAGUAAAGAGAGGGCACAAAACUCUUCACUGCUCUGCAUGUGUCCCAAAAAUGCGAUUGGACAAAUUAUGAUUUGCAUGCUAAAAAGAGGCAAAUGAGGUUAAUUCGCACCAUAAUUAUUUGGUUUUCUGGACACCAUAAAAAGAUGUUAUACAGGCAGGGAAAAACCUUCAGAGUUAGCUACCAAAGAUAAUUAUCAAGCAGAUAUCACCAAGAGAAUUCCAUAGAGUCUGAAUCAAAGACAGAUUGCUCGCUCGUGGGGGUUCUUACUUUCUUUUGGGUAUAACUCACUGAGGUCACUGUCUUUUUUAUUUGCAUUUCACAGUUAGAGUUCUGCUCUGGAAGGUUUGUUCUGGAAACAUAUAAAAGGAGCAUCAUUUUGUUCUUGGGUAACCCAUAGUCGUGAGUGGGUCCAUUUGCAUGCUACUUAGUUGAAAAGUUGGACAAUUUGCUCCGACGCCUACCUCCUGGAUUCCAUGCUCGGUAAAACAAGAAUAAAAAAAAAUAUAUAAUUUACAAAUGGGGGAAAGAAAAAAUGUCGGAAAAAAUAGUAAAAUUCAUGUCACAUGCUAGUGAGAGAAGGGGUUGUUACACUCACUCGAAGUUCUUUUCAAAAUAUCGAAUGGUAUUUUACUUUAUGUGUCAGCGCAGUUGUGAAUGGAACGUGCAAAAGUCCAAAUUGGCGUUUUUAUUUUUCCCAUGUAGGAUGGUGACCUUUAAUAAAUAUUUAAAACAAAAGACGAAAAAAAAAAGGAGGGAAAAGGGAUCACAAAAGAUAAAAUAAUGUUUACAAAAGCUCAAUUAGUUUGCAAAUUACUGUUUGGAUUUUGAUAGUAUUUUAUUUGUCGUUCUAUAUUUGAUGUAAAAGAGAAUUUAAGAUAUUUCCGAAGCAAAAGCAUUAGUUUGCUCUGUGAUGUCCCACAUCGAAUAGGGGAGAAAGUUUCUGGCGCUAUAUAUGUAGAGGCUCCUCUUAACCAAGUAGAUGCGUUUUAAAACCAUGAGGGCCCCCUUAGGUCCAAAGCGGACAAUAUCUACAUGAUUGGGUGUAAGUCAUUACAAAUGGUAUCAGAGCCGAUCCCCGACCCCGGUGUGGGGGUUUGUUUGGCCCUGUAAGGGGUGUUUGUCUGUUUGACCCCACAAUCCCAUGGGACACAACGAGGACGUUGUGUCUGCAUGGGGGGGCGUUUGUGAUGUCCCACAUCGGAUAGGGGAGAAAGUUCCUAGUGCUAUAUAUGUAGAUGUUUCUCUUAACCAAGUAGAUGCAUUUUAAAAUUGUGAGGGCCUCUUUGGGCCCAAAGCGGACAAUAUCUACAUGGUUGAGUGUAAGUCAUUACAUGCUCCAUGUCAAUUUCAGCAUUUCUCAUAUGUUUCACACAUACACAGAAGAGCAUCGUUUUUUAAAGCAUGCAUUUAUGUUGGAUUAAUUUGGAUUUUGUGGGAACUGGGGCAAGGAUCACAUGGAAGAGAGGUUGACUUUUUUCAGUACUUCAAUGGUUGAAAUAUGUGAAGGCUUGAUUGAUACUAAAGCUUGAAAUUGCGACUCUGUCAUUUGUAAAAAAAUAUGACAGCUUCCAUGCUCUCGUUUGGUUGCAUUGUCCGGUCGAGAGGUGCAAAAAGCAUUCUCUCUCUUCUAAUAGUCUUUUCGUUUAAAUCAAGGGAUUUGCCUUCCCGGUCGAGGUCCAAUAGAGGGUAACGGUCACCUACUAAACAUUAAAUGCUCCAACAACUAGUGAACUGAUCGACCCCAGCUCGACUAGUUGAGGUUACUUUUUGGUUUUCUUGUCUCCCGAGGUUAGAAACCUAUAAAUAGAGAGCUUCACUUCAUUUAUGAGUAAGAGAACACCUAAAUUUAUUUGUUUACCUACUUGUUUUUGCCAUAAAAGCUCUCAUUUCUUUUCUUGGUGUAUUAAAUCUCCAUUUGCAUAUCCUUUAGUGCACCUUUGUGAUUCAUUCUAGCCUUGAGUUGUAUUUAAGCCUUUGUUGAGCUAGGUUGAGAGUUUCAUACUUGUUUAUUGAGUGUUAAAGCCUUCAAGUGAGUUAAAACUUGAAGAGAUUGUGUAAGAGCCCAUUGGAGUCGGAAUCCAAGUGUAAAGGUGAUUAAAAGCUUGGUUGAAGCUUCAAGUUAGUGGAACUCUCACUCGGUUAUGAGCUUGAGAAGAGUGGACAUAGACAAGGCAGUGUCGAACCACUAUAAAAUCUGAGUUUGAUUUCUCUAACCUUAUCUCUUUAUAUUUGCUUCUCUUGUGCUUAAAUUUUUUGUGUUUAAAAAGAAUUUUUAAAAACUCAAUUCACCCCCUUCUUGGGAGUUUUUCUCUUUUAAGAUCAGCUUUUAUUUUCUCAAUUGGUAUCAGAACUAUGCCUCUUGUUUAAGACUUAAUCGUCUAAGAGGAAAUGGCUAAUCCAUCAAGUUCAUCUCACAUUGAAAGUUUUGCAACCAAUAGACUUCUUUUUUUUUUUUUGCGGGAACUGAUUAUCCCUAUUGGAAAACUAAAAUGACUUGGUUUUUACAAUCAAUUGAUUUAGAUGUAUGAGAUGCCAUUGAAGAUGACCUAACUUUUCCUUCAAAACUAGUUGAUGGAGUCAUGGUUCCAAAACCUAAGCAAGAAUGGGAUGAGCGUGAUUGAAGAAAUUUUCAAUUAAAUGCUAAAGUCGUUUAUACUUUGCAAUGCUCUAUGGACAGAAAUGAAUAUAAUAGAAUAUGUCAAUGCAAAUCGGUUAAAGAAAUUUGGAGAUUGCUUGAAAUAACUCAUAAAGGAACAAAUCAAGUUAAAGAGUCAAAAAUCAAUUUACUUGUUCAUAGAUAUGAAUUGUUUUUUAUGAAAGAUAAUGAAACUAUUGUUAAGAUGAUCACUAGGUUCACCAACAUUGUUAAUGGUCUUAAAGCCUUGGGAAAGACCUACAAGGAAUCCGAAAACGUGAUGAAGAUCUUGAGGUCACUUCCAUCAAAGUGGCAUACCAAGGUCACCGCAAUUUAAGAAGCAAAAGACUUGAUCAAGCUACCUUUGGAGGAGUUCAUAGGGUCAUUGAUGACAUAUGAAAUCAAUUUGGCAAAGAAGUAACAAAAAGGUGAAGACAAAAAGAAGAAGAACAUAACUCUCAAAGCUACAACUAAGGAAGAAGAAGUUGAAGAAGAAAAACAAAUUGAAGAAGAUGAAGAUUUAGCCCUCAUCACAAGAAAGUUCAACAAAUUCAUGAGGGGUGAAAGGUUUAGAAGAAGAAGGUUCACUUCUAGAAGAGACUUUUCUAAAAAGGAAUCUUCAUCUAAUGGUGACAAAAAGAGAUGGGAAGAGAAAAGAGACUUGGUGUGUUUCAAGUGCAAGAAACCGGGACACAUUAAAUAUGAUUGUCCUCUCUACAAAAGUGAAGUCAAGAGGAAAAAGAAUAAGGCAAUGAUGGCCACUUAGAGUGAAAGUGAAGAUGAAUCAUCCGAAGAAGAAAAUGAGAAAGAAGUGGCAAACAUGUGUUUCAUGGCAAUAGAUGAACUUGAUGAGGUAAAAUCUAACCUUAGUGAUUAAGAUAUACAUGAUGCAUUUGAAGAAUUGUAUGAGGAUUUUUAAAAACUUAGUUUGAAAAAUAUUUCUCUUAAAAAGAAAGUUCAACAACUUGACAAAGAACUUAGAGAAGUAAAAGAAAAAUUUUCAAAUGUUAAAGUUUCUAAAACUCAUCUUGAAAAAGAAAAUGAGAUUCUAAGAAAGAAAAAUGAAUAGUUGAACUCCUCUCUUUCAAUCUUUUCUUCUAGACAAAAAUCUUUUGAAAUGAUUCUAACUAGCUAAAAAUGUGUUUUUGACAAACAAGGGUUAAGAUUUAAAUCUUCAAAAAAUCAAAAGUAUUUUAAAAACUAUUUUGUAAAGGAAUCCACAAGUGCAAGUCCUUCCACUACUUGCAACUUUUGUGGAAGAGAAUGGCACAUUAGUAGUACGCCCUUUAAGAAAUGGUUCUCAAAAGAAUUUAAAUGCAAAAACUAAAAAAGAUUUGGAUUGAGAAAUCCAAGGUCACUAACCCUCAAGGACCCAAAAAGAUAUAGGUACCUAAAUCAACUUGAGUUUUAUGUUGUAAGGUUCAAAGAAUGAUAAGUGGUUCUUAGAUAAUGGUUGCUCAAGACACAUGACCGGAGAUGAAUCCAAGUUUGCUUUUCUUAAAAAGAAAAAUGGAGGAUAUGUUACCUUUGGAGACAAUGCAAAAGAAAGGAUGAUUGGUCAAGGCAACAUUGGUAAUGGCACAUCCUCUCUCAUUGAAAGUGUUUUAUUAGUAGAUGGUUUCAAACAUAACCUUUUAAGCAUUAGUCAAUUUUGCGACAAAGGUUUUUAAGUGAUUUUUUAAGCAUCUCAUUGCAUCAUCAAGGAUAUUCAAAAUGAUAAAACCAUUUUCAUGGGCCAUAGAUGUGAUAAUGUUUAUGCUAUAAAUAUUUCAAAAUAUGAUGGCCAUGAUAGAUGUUUUUCAAGCAUGCAUGAUCAAAGUUGGUUGUGCCAUAGGAGAUUGAGACAUGCUAACAUAGACCUCAUUUCCCAACUCAACAAAGAUGAACUUGUUAGAGGCCUUCCCAAAAUAAUUUUUUAAAAAGAUAAAGUUUGUGAAGCUUGUCAAGUGGGAAAGUAAAUCAAAAACUCUUUUAAAAACAAAAACUUCAUUUCCACAUCUAGGCCACUUGAGUUGUUGCAUAUGGAUUUAUUUGGUCCCUCUAGGACACCAAGUCUUAGAGGAAAUUCUUAUGCAUAUGCUAUUGUGGACGACUUCUCUAGAUACACAUGAGUCUUGUUUUUUAGUCAAAAGAAUAAAGUUUUUUAUGAGUUUUCAAAGUUUUGCAAUAAGAUUCAAAAUGAAAAAGGUUUUUCAAUUACUUAUAUAAGAAGUGAUCAUGGGAGAGAAUUCGAAAAUAUUGAUUUUGAAGAGUAUUGCAAUGAGCAUGGAAUUGACCACAAUUUUUUGGCUCUUAGAACUCCUCAACAAAAUGGGGUAGUUGAAAGGAAAAAUAGAACUCUUCAAAAAAUGACAAGAACCAUACUAAAUGAAAACAACUUACCAAAAUAUUUUUAGGCCAAAACGGUUAACACUUCUUGUUAUGUUUUAAAUAGAGUAUUAUUGAGGCUCAUACUUAAGAAAACUCCCUAUGAGCUUUGGAAAAACAAAAAACCCAACAUUAGUUAUUCCAAAGUCUUUGGAUGCAAUAUUUUAUAAUAAACACCAAAGACAAUCUUGGAAAAUUUGAUGCAAAAUUGGAUGUUGGAAUUUUCCUUGGUUACUCAACUUCAAGUAAAGCUUUUCGAGUUUUAACAAAAGAACCAUGGUUGUAGAGGAGUCCAUCCAUGUUAUUUUUUAUGAAUCUCCAAGAAAGAGAGAGGAUUGAUGAUGAUUUAGGUUUGAAGACCUCUAUAGGAAGAUUGCAAAUCGAAGAUAGAAGACAACAAGAAGAAAAUGGAGAGAAUCCAAAGAAAGAAGGAUCACCAUUGGCACUACCCCCUCAUCAACAAGCGCAAGGUGAAUCAAGUCAAGAGCUUCCUAAAGAAUGGAAGUUUGUCAUCAAUCACCCACAAGAUCAAAUUAUAGGCAAUCCAUCUAGUGGGGUAAGAACUAGAUCCUCUCUUAGAAAUAUUUGCAAUAAUCUAGCUUUUAUCUCUCAAAUUGAGCCUAAAAAUAUAAAUGAUGUUUUAGAUGAUGAAAAUUGGAUAAUUGCAAUGCAAGAAGAGUUAAAUCCAUUUGAAAGAAGUGGAGUAUGGGAAUUAGUACCAAGACCUUCAAAUCAAAGUGUUAUUGGAACUAGAUGGAUCUUUAGAAAUAAAAUGGAUGAAAAUAGCAUAAUUGUUAGAAAUAAAGCAAGAUUGGUAGCCCAAGGUUUUAAUCAAGAAGAAAUGAUAGAUUAUGAAGAAACCUUUGCCCCCGUAGCUAGGUUGGAAGCCAUUAGGAUGCUACUUGCCUUUGCAUGUUUUAAAGACUUUGUUUUAUAUCAAAUGGAUGUGAAAAGUGCUUUUUUAAAUGGUUUUAUAAAUGAAGAAGUAUAUGUUGAACAACCACCCGGUUUUCAAAGUUUCAACUUUCCUAACCAUGUUUUUAAACUUAAAAAGACACUUUAUGGUUUGAAACAAGCACCUAGAUCAUGGUAUGAAAAAUUGAGUAAAUUUCUUUUGAAAAAAAUGUUUUAAAAUGGGAAAAAUUGACACAACUCUUUUUAUAAAAACCAAAGAAAAUGAUAUGCUCUUAGUUCAAAUAUAUAUUGAUGAUAUCAUUUUUGGUGCUACUAAUGUCUCUCUUUAUGAAGAAUUUUCUAAGUGCAUGCAUAGUGAGUUUGAAAUGAGCAUGAUAGGAGAACUCAACUUCUUCCUUGGACUUCAAAUCAAGCAACUAAAGGAAUGAACCUUCAUCAAUCAAGCAAAGUAUAUAAGAGAUCUUCUCAAAAGGUUCAACAUGGAAGAAGCCAAAACAAUGAAGACUCUAAUGAGCUCAUCCAUUAAGCUUGAUAAGGAUGAGAAAGGUAAAUCCAUUGACUCUAUUAUGUAUAGAGGCAUGAUAGGUUCUUUGCUCUAUUUGACCACUAGUAGACCUUACAUUAUGUAUAGUGUGUGUUUGUGUACUAGAUUUCAAUCUUGUCUUAAAAAAUCUCACUUAAGUGUCGUGAAAAGAAUCCUCAAAUAUUUGAAAGGGACAAUGGACAUAGGCUUAUGGUAUCCUAAGAGUGAUAACUUUGAAUUAAUUGGUUUUUUGGAUGCUGAUUUUGUCAGUUGUAGGGUUGAAAAAUAAAACACUAGUGGCACUUUUCAUUUCUUAAGACACUUACUUGUCUCAUGGCAUAAUAAGAAGCAAAAUUUGGUAGCUUUGUCAACAGCAGAAGCUAAAUACAUAGCAACUGGUUUAUGUUGUGCACAAAUCCUUUGGAUGAAAUAAACACUUAGUGAUUUUGAUUUAUCUUUUGAGCAUAUUCCUAUUAAAUGUGAUAAUAGUAGUGCCAUAAGUAUAUCAAAAAAUCUCGUGCAACACUCUAGGACUAAGCAUAUAGAGAUUAGACAUAAUUUUCUUAGAUAUCAUACACAAAAGGAUGAUAUAACACUUGAAUUUGUAAGCAUAAAAGACCAACUUGCCGAUAUCUUUACAAAACCUCUAAGAACAUUUUGUUGAUAUUAGAGGACAAUUAGGAGUGAUUUCUUUAUGAUCUAAUGUGAUGAAUUCUUGAUGAAUAUACUUUUUGAUUGCAUGAAUUUCAUGUCAUAUAUGCAUCAUAUAGAAAUAUACUUAGAUAAUGGUCAAAUUUCGACCAAAAAUCAAAAUUCCCAUGGCAUUAGGCAUAAAAAUUUUGGAAUUUCAACUGAAAAUGGUAGGAGGAGGAUCACAAAAUGAGAAAGUAUGCAAAAAUUGAAAAAUCAAAACGUUGACCAAGCGGUCAAUCGGACUAGACCGAUCGACUAGUUUGUCGAGAUUUAGGAUUUUUAAGAGACUCCAACGCUUCAAUUUUUGCACCGUUCUCCUCUAUUUCUUCACGGUUUCUCUGAUUUUGUCUUUUAGAGACUAAUUUGAGUGCGUUUUGGAUCAAUUGAAGCAUUUUGGAUUGGAUUUUAGGAAGAUUGAAAGUUAAGGUUUCGGAUUUGGGUCGCCUUCUCUUCCUCUCGCGUGUCACAAUCAGCUUUAGCAUUGUUCUCUUUCCAUUUUCACACACCUAGGGUUUCAGUUGUGAGCAUCUCUCUCUCUUUACCAACCACUACUCCCUUGCUUCUUCCAUAUGGCUCCUAGGCGAGAGUCCGCUACUUCUAGGGCACAAGGCAAGCACCCAACUGAGUCGUCUCAGUCAAAGGCACGUCGAAAAGUGAGAUUUGACAUUGCCUUGUUCAGUUCCAUGGAGGACUACCAACUAUACAAGCAACACUUUGCUUAGAGACGAGUAGUUCCCAAGAGAAAUAUUAAUUUUCCUCAACUUCAGCAUUUCGAAUUUAAGGGUCUAUUUACUAGGAUGGUUGGUUGUCUAUUGUCACAAUUUCGGAGCCGGUUUUCCUGACCUUAGUGCGAGUUUUUUACUCGAGGGCGACUUAUGGCAUGGGUGGCAUGAUCAUUUCUACUGUUGGAGGAGUUGAGAUCUGUCUGGACCCAGAGAGCAUCUGCCAUAUUUUCGAUAUUGCUCUGGUUGGACUCAAAGUAUACAAGUCCAAAAUGUGGCCCAUUGUGCCAGGAUUUGAGCUUAGAGAGGUCAUUCAGAGGAUUUGUGAACUUCCAGACGCCCAGGAGAUGGGCAAACCAUUGCCACACAGUUUGACGGUCAUCAACAGGGUGCUACACCAUAUAUUGUGCUCUAUCUUUCUACCACGAAGUGGACAUUGAGAUGAGGUCUCUUAUUAUGAGGCAUUCCUUAUUGACUCCAUUCUAACGGAGAGACGAAUUCAUCUACUAUGUCAUCAUUCACUAAGCCUCCUCACAGUGACAUACCACCUCAUCAGGCACCUCUUGCUCCUGACCAUGCUCCAUUGAUGGAUUUAUUUACUCAUAUUAGCUCUCUAGGCACUCGCAUGAAGGAGUUUGUUGUAGUUAGUGAUACAUGGUUCUACUCCAUAGAGGAUCGCAUGGAUCAGUAUCAGACUGGCUUCACGUCACAGUUUGAGUAUCUCCAAUAGAGGAUUGAGCAUAUUGAGGAUCACUUGAGCAUGAGAAGAUGAUGGCUUUUCUAUGCUCUGUGUUUCCACCUCCACCUCGUCAACCUUGAUUUCUUAGAGACCCAUUGUUUUCAUUUUGUAAUGUUGCCAAAAGGGGGAGAUAUUUAGGAUCUAGGACUCUAUAGGAGACUUACAUGCAUAUCAUUUUCAUAUCAUUGUUUGGAUCGUACAUAUUGGAUAGUGAUACUUUUUACUUAUAUAUGAUAUGCCUAUAUGUUUCAUGUCUUACAUUGUUUCUUAUUGCAAAUUAUCUCUAACAUGUCUUGAUUAUCUUUUUUUUAACUUCAUAAAUUUUGAUUGUUAACCCAUGAUUGGUUUGAGGGGAAGAUUCUUCUUCUCCUAGAUAACCAAGGUUUGUCAUCAUAAAAAAAUUGGAGAUUGUUAGCCCAAGGGUUCUCCUAAUCAUGUUUUGAUGAUAACAAACCAUGCUUAAGUUACUAAUUGGUUUGAAUUAUAAAGAAUUUCAAGUGUUAAUUUGAAAAUUCAUCAAAGAACCUAAUGGAUGCAAGAUCAAGAUUUUUGGAAGACCUUUAAUCAUAAGAAACAUAUGUAAGAUGAAUGCAUGGGUGCACUUAAGAUUUGCAUAUCAUUUCAUGCAUAUUUGGAAAACACGGUUUAUGCUUUAAAGUUACAUUUCCAUCAAAAUUUGAGAUCCAUCAAAUGAACCUUAGGAAAAAUGUUUUAAAAUUGGCAUAUAAUUUUACCUAAAGACCUUGCCUAAGUGUUAGAAGCAAAAGGACAAAAAAAAUAUAGGUUUUCUGGUCAAAAAUGGUGAACCAGUCAAGGCAUUGUCUAAAUCAGCUCAAUCGGCCAAGGUACCGGUCGAUCGGUUUCCCUUUCCCUGUCGAGAUCUAGUCAAGAGGUACAAAAAUCACAAUCUCUGUCUCUUUCUCUCUUUGUCUAUCUUCCAGUAGUCUUUCCUUCCCGGUCGAGGGAUUUGCCUUCCCGAUUGAGGUCCGAUUGAGAGUAAUAGUCACUUGCCAAAUAUUAAAUGCUCCAACAGUUAGUGAACUGGUCGACCCCCACCUUGCCCAGUUGAGGUUACUUUUUGGUUUUCUUGGCUCCCGAUGUUAGAAACCUAUAAAUAGAGAGUUCCACUUCAUUUAUGAGCAAGAGAACACUUGCAUUUAUUUGUUUACCUACUUGUUCUUGCCUUAAAAGCUCUCAUUUCUUUUCUUGGUGCAUUAAAUCUCCAUUUUGAUAUCCUUUAGUGCACCUUUGUGAUUCAUCUUAGCCUUGAGUUGUAUUUGAGCCCUUUUUUUAGCUAGGUUGAGAGUUUCAUACUUGUUAAUUGAGUGUUAAAGCCUUCAAGUGAGUUGAAACUUGUAGAGAUUAUGUGAGAGUCGAUUGGAGCCGAAAUCCAAGUGUAAAGGUGAUUAGAAGCUUGGUUGAAGCUUCAAGUUAGUGGAAUCCUCACUCAAUUAGGAGCUUGAGGAGAGUGGACGUAGCCAAGGAAGUGUCGAACCACUAUAAAAUUUGAGUUUGAUUUCUCUAACAUUGUCUCUUUAUAUUUGUUUAUCUUGUGCUUAAAUUUAUUGUGUUUAAAAAGAAUUUUUAAAUACCCAAUUCACCCCCCUCUUGGGUGUUUUUCUCUUUUAAAAUUAGCCUUUAUUUUCUCACAAACUAUUGUAGUAUAGUGGUUUUUAGGUGUCAUCCAUUAGGAUGAAUUGUUCUCGGUAAUUAAGGCGUGAAUGAGAGGAGAAUUAAUGAUUGUGAUUAAGUAAAAUUGAUUUGAAAAUUCAUGGUGAAAAAUCAAUUUAACAAUGGUUUCUAAUUGAGAAAAACAAUGAAAUGUGAAAUAAAAUAAAAUUAAUAGGAAAUGAAAUUCUCGAAGUUAGAAUUUUCUAAAAAACAAAUUCCAUGGUGAAUGGAUGUUGAGAUCUAAUUUUCAUCAAGUUAGAUUGAAAACCGAAAUUUUCAUAUAAACUGAUUUUUUAUUUAGUUUUAGGUCUAGAUUUAAUUUCCCUUAAAAUUAGGUUAUUUAAUCCAAGAAAUCAAUUCAAAUCAUAUAUUCAAUUCAUCUUAAAUUAUCUUCCAAUUAUUCACACAAUGCAACUAUUCAAUCUCAUCAAAUCUAGCUUUUAAGAAUUUAAUGAAUCUACCUAGUUUGCAUUGUAAUAGUCAUCCAUGACAAUUUGAAGAGAAAAAUAAUUCAAUUAAUCAAUCACUUGGAUCAAAUUACCUUUGCAAUUAAAGUUCAUUUCUCUAAUUCACCACAGAUUUUGUCUCUAGAUCCUCCUUUCUCAAAGAAAAAUGAGAUUUAGCCACACAUGAUUGGAGAUUUGGUCUCAUAAGGCAUGUUUAGCUAGUGAUAAAAUGAGAGAAAAUAAAGAAAAAUAGAGAAUUCGAUUAAGAAAGAAAAUCUAAAAAAUUCUACAAUUAGAAAUGUCCAAAAAGCUUUUUCAUGAGAAAAUCAAGUUUCUAUUUAUAGGCCAAGGUCAAGUGGACACUUGACAUCAUCUAAGAGGUCUUCCGGAAGCUUCUUCAUCAAGAAAUCUGGAGUUUAAUAAUAAAAUGGUCAUUUCACAAGAGCUCAAACAAUUUCGCAUGAUUAUGUGAAAUAAAAAAUGCAACAACAGCAAUUUACAUCUUCUUGGAGCAUUUCGCAUGACUGUGUGAAAUUUUCACAUGAUCAUGUGGAAUCGACUUGACAACUCUCAUUUAGCCUACAACAUAAUUCCACCUUUUGGUCCAUUUUUCAUAGUCAUGCGAAAUGGAAAUAUUUGAUUUUUAAGUUUUCUUUUGUCAUUUCUUUCAUUUCCUUCUCUUGAUUCCACUUCAACUACCUCCGAAUCCUGGUCCAAACCAAUUGCAUUACUUCUUUCAUUAUGCAUUUGGAUCAUCAUCAACAUUAUUUGUUCUCUUCAAUUUGAUUCAUCUCUUUUGUCACCAAUUUAUCAAAAUCAUACCUUGAAAUGACUCCAAAACUUCAUAAAACUUGUUAGUAACUCUUGCAAGGGCAACAACAUAUUAAUUAAGUGUUUUAGGCAUAGUUACUACUCAAAAGAUGCGAAACUCAUGAUAAUUAUUAUAUAAAAUAUGCUCUUUUUGAGUAGUAAUCAACUUUCUUGCAUAAGCAGACCUUUUAGGGUGGAGUACUAAAGACCAAUAUGCUUGUCCUUGUUGUAAUAAAGAAACUUGCUCUUAUUGAUUGCACCAUGGGAGAAAAUUUUGCUACAUGAGUUAUCAUCAAUUUCUUCCCACCAAUCAUAGAUUUAGACGUGACAAGAGGCCUCUUAAUGGCAAGGAGGAACUGACACUCACACUUAUACAAUUAUCGGGCAUUGAUGUGUUGCAACAAUUAGAAUAACUUACACCAAUUAUGUUGGGGAAGUCACAAAAGGCAAACAUGAAAACUAAAAGGAAAAAAGAAAAAUGUUACAUAUCACCACAACUGGAAAGAAAAAAGUAUUUACUUUCAUUUGCCAUAUUGGAAAGCACUUAUUUUACAUCAUAAUAAUUUAGACAUAAUGCAUAUUGAGAAAAAUGUGUGACAAUAUAAUUGAGACAUUGUUCAGUAUUGACGAAGAAACAAGGACAACCUAAAUAGUCAUCUCGAUUUACAAGCUCUAACUAUUAGAAAUGAGAUUCACCCAAUAGAAAGCAGGACCAAAUUUAUUUUGCUUGCAACAUGCUACUCACUCACCCCAAAUGAGAUUAAGGAAUUUUGCAAGUUUUUGAAAUCAAUAAAGGUCCCCAAUGGCUAUUCUUUCAAUAUCUCUCGUUAUGUGCAACUCAAUGAAAGGAAGAUAUAUGAGCUCAAAUUGUAUGAUUGUCAUGUCCUAAUGCAACAACUUCUCUCACUUGUAGUUCGUGGAGUUCUACAUAAGAAUGUUUGUGGAGUUAUCAUAGAAUUGCGUAAUUUUUUCAAGCAAUUGUGCUCAAAGGUGUUAGAAACAAAUCACUUACACCAACUUGAGAACAAUAUUAUUGUCAUACUAUGUAAAAUGGAGCAAAUAUUUCUUCCAUCAUUCUUUGAUAUUAUGGUGCAUUUACUUGUGCAUCUAGUAAGGCAAAGGUUGCAAGACUUGUGCAAUAUUGUUGGAUGUACCUAAUUGAACGAUAUUGUUAUAAUUUCAUAUGAAUCAUUUAAUUUUAUUUUAUAUUAUGUUCAGUUCAUUAACAUGUACAUUGGUCUACAUAUGGAUGAUGAUAGGUACCUAAGCACUUUAAAGUCAUAUGUGCGUAAUAGAACUUUUCUAGAAGGUUCUAUUGUAGAAAGGUACCUUGCAAAAGAAUGUACAACAUUUUAUUCUAGGUACUUGAAUGAUGUGGAAAUAAAGUAUAAUCACAAUGAUAGAAACUUUGUUGGUUUCAACACUAGAGGAGAUGAAAGGGGUUAUCUUUAAACAUAUUGGACAUGCAUUGGGAAAGCCCAUAUUUCAUUAACUUAGUUCAAAAGAGUGGUCACAAGCACAUUUAUAUGUGUUGACAAAUUGCGAAGAUGUCAUACCAUUCAUUGAGUAAAAAAUUUAUUUGAAUUUUAAUUAAAGCUCUAGUUUAUAUCCUUAAUCAAUGUUUUUUAAAUUCACAAGGAGCACAAGCAAACCAUCAAGGCUAGACCACAUAUACGUGUUUGAGACGUAGAUUUAAUUCAUAACAAGGAAUUUAUCAAGUGGUUUGAAAGACAUGUAAGUAUAUUCCUUAUUAUAAGGGAUUUAUUUCACAUUAUGUUUAUAUUGAAUCCAAACCUAUUAUUGAAUUGUAGGUUGAACAAUUACAUAAUGAAGGUCAUAUAUCUGAACACCUUCUCACAUUAUCAUGUGUUCCAAAUUCAUUAGUUACAUGCUUCAAAUGAUAUAUUGUCAAUGGAUUUAGAUCCCACAUUAAAGAACGUGAUAAAAAAGUUUUUAAAAAAAGACUCAGAAUAAUGGAAUUGUUGUAGUUGCAAAAACGUCAAGCUUUACAAGUGCAUGUGAUAUGAGUCCAAUUAUUAGUGAUGCUCUCUACUAUGGUGUUCUAACUAAAGUUGUUGAGUUACAUUAUCUUGGUGAAAAUAAGGUUGUUUUAUUCGAGUUUGAUUGGUGGGAUGUUACAAAUAUUGGAAAAUUGAUAAAAGAUGAUGAGUACAAUUACACAUUUGUUAACUUUGCAUGAAUUCUAACCACGAACGAACGAUUUGUACUUGCAUCUCCAGCAAAGUAAGUGUUCUAUGUGAAGAAUGCGAAUGAAUCAGAUUGGCAUACUAUCAUGGAGAUGCAACCUCAAGACCUCUAUAAGAUGAACGGGAUAGGAUCCAAUGGUGAUUUUGAACCAUUUCAACAAAGUGAACUACAUGAUCACUAAUAUAUCUCAGAUUUAGUUGAUGAAGAUAUAAUCAAGUGGAACAAAAGUGAUGUUUUAGGACUAAUCAUCCUAAAAAAUAUUGUAGUUUCUUAAAAAAAAAAUGAAAAUGAAGAAGAUAAUUGAACCUUUGUCAUACUUUAAAAAGCAACUAUGCAUUGUUCAUUUUGUAUGUUUUGGUUUUCUUCAUUUAAUUUCCUGAUUUUUGUGAUUCAAUGUCAUAUUAUUGAUCUUGAAAUAUUUUUCUAAUUUUUCAUUCUACGAUGGUUUCAACAAGGAUGACAUCAAGUCAAAAAAGGAAAUGUGGUCCCACACACAAUAUUGCAUUACAGGGAUUAAGGUCAGGGAAGAAGGUAAAAGUUGCAUUUAAUGAGUACAAUCAAUUGGUUAAACAGAAAAAUGGAAAACACUUAUCGAGCUACAUAGGGACACUUGUAUCUAACCAACACAAUGUACCUCUCCAAGCUAGUGAUUGGAAAAAUGUUCCAAAUGAUGCAAAAGAGAAAGUAUGGCCUUUGUUUUGGUAUGUUGUAUUUCUCACUAUAUGAUGUCAUUUCACUGUUAUUCUAUUUUGUGACUAACGUUUGAAUCAUAUGUAAGAAAAAUUUGAAGUAGAUAAAGACUGAAAAGAUUACAUGUUGGGUAUAGCCUCAAAUAAAUAUAGAAGCUAUAAAAAUAUGAUGAAUGCAAAAUACUAUGACCCUUGGCAUAAGGAUGCAUGAGGAGAGGUUAAUACAUAAAUCACCAUUUGUCUCUGAUGUUGAUUGGAAGUGGCUUGUCUCUGAUGCAUAAACCAAAUCCCCCACUGAAUGUUUGAUAUUUGAUAGCAGGAAAAACACACCCGCAGCUAUACACCUCCAUCAUUCAGAUAAUUAUAGUGGGGGAGAUGAUUCAUGGUUGCCCUUAUACCCUUUAUUUGCACCAUCUAUUGAGAUUCUUUAUCAUGGCCAGGUUUUACUGCAGCAAUAAGAUAUGGUGGCAACAAUUUUAUCUAUAGGUGCGGUUCCAGACCGCCUCCAUAGGUGCGGUUCCUGACUGCCUCCAUAGGUGCCUCUUCUUGUAAUGUUUGUUCUGGGAAUUACACUUGAAAGCCUUAUCGUGAUAAGGGAUUACAAACACUAGUUCAGAGGACAGCCAUGUUAAACUUCCACUAUGUUUGUGUCACAUUAUCAGCAGCCUAGUGUUUAUUGGUCAUGCUAUCUGCAACUAAUAUAACCCGGUGAACUUCAAUCUAAAUUCUGAAAGUACUCAUGUGACAGAUGGUGCCUUUCAGCAGAUAUCAUCAAUUUAAAAGUAGUGUGUGUGCCUAUAGGUGGGAAGGCCUUGGCAAAUGUUCAGUAUUCCGGUAAUUCAAGAAGGAUAUAUCUAAAAUAGAUUUUCUUCUUGCCCAUUUCAAUAGUUAAAAUUUGAGAAGAUUGUGUCCACAUCACACAAAUAUUAUUGGUCCUUCUGUUGCAAUUUACCUCUGAACAUGUCUUCCAAUUCCCACGGUCCUGUUACUCCAGGAAAACUAUUUCGGUCAUAUUGAAAAAAAAAAUAUUAAAGAAGGUACACAUGCUUUUAAGUGGACUGGGGCAUUCAUAUCAGGUGGUCUGUAUCCACAUAUGCCACUUCGUGAAAGGUGGAACAGCCUAAUCACUAGGCUAUUUAGUGUGGCCCAGCCACGUUAAUCAAGCACAAGUCUUCAUACUUAAAGUCAAAUGGUGUCUUUAGUCUCAUUACACAUCGCUAUUUGAAGAUUAACUCAUCACUAGUGUAAUGCGAUUAAGACAGUCCUAACUCAAUAUUUGUUCUAGUUUUGGAUGCAAAUGCUUGCUGGUUUCAUCAUUGGAUGGGAUAAAGGUGCAAUCAGGACUAUGAAUACGUGCAGUAAUACUUCAUUCUCUUUUUUCUCAAUGAGACUUCUUGGCACAAUUUUGCUGCUCAGCAACCUACCUUUCCAUGGAAAAUCAGUUGUGACUGAUAGUAAUGGAUAUAUUCUAGAAAGCUAAACAUAGAUAGCAUUCAAUAUUAUCGAUAUAACAUUAACAGCGUAUGUCUCAAUGCUCAUCAGCUACAAGCAAUGGACAAACACUUUGAGUAACUCACAGCAGUCAAAAUUCCUAAACAGGACAGACGUGACAGAUCUAUAUAUAGAACACUGCAUAUGAGUCACAGGAAAAGAUAAUACGGGUACAUAGAAGCUCUUAUUUUACAUAUUACUCAUACUGAUCAAAGUCGCUCAGUUGGGAUGGAUGGGAGAAGGAGGUUUGAGGGGUGGCUUGUGCGGGGAAGUUGGCAGCUUCUUUCCGGGAGCUGGUUGCUUCUUUGCUGGAGUUGAAGGAGGCUUAAUCUUCCGAGGUGGCUUGUAUGAGUCUUCAGCAUUCUCAGCAGGAGGGUGACCAGGGUUGUGACCAUAAUGUGGUGGCUUCUCUCCCUUAGGUGGUUUGCCAACUGGGGUUGGUGGCUUGUUUUCUGGGAGUGGCUUCUCUCCCUUGGGUGGUUUGCCAACUGGGGUUGGUGGCUUGUGUUCUGGGAGUGGCUUCUCCCCCUUGGGAGGUUUUUCGAAUGGGGUGGGUUUGUGUCCUGGUGGUGGCUUCUCUCCCUUGGGAGGUUUACCAAUUGGGGUCGGUGGCUUGUGUUCUGGGAGGGGCUUCUCUCCCUGGGGAGGUUUAGUGGGUGGCUUGUGUUCUGGAGGUGGCUUCUCCACCGGAGGCUUAUGCUCUGGUGGUGGCUUCUCGAAGGGGGGAUGCUCAGGGUAAUCACCAAGUGAGGGGGUGGUGAGAACCACCAUGCCAAGCAACAACACUAGCAAGUAUGUAGUAGACAUCUUUGGGUUUGGACUCAGACAGUGCAAAACUACGAGAAAUCGCUAGCCCUUUAUAGCGGCUCGGACCUAAUACUGACAUAAUAUAAAAUAAAUAUUAUAUUUUAUCAAGAGAGAACAGAGUGUAAUUUUAUCAUUAAUACCGAUCGAGGCCAAAGAAAGAAGACCCAUAAUCCAUUUCCCACAAGCAUACACAAUGCAGCUGUAAUUUUAUCAUUUACUUUUAUCCCUUGGACCACUGCAUUUUUGUUGAGAGACACAAUAACACAUUUUUAUCUGUCAUUCAACAUUUACAGUAAAGAGAGGGCACAAAACGCAAUUAGAUAAAUUAUGUUUUGCCUGCUAAAAAGAGGCAAAUAACUUUAUUUGCAACAUAAUUAUUUUGGUUUCUAGUGACCCCGGGGCCUUUCGGUUGGUUUGGGAUCGGAAAAUGAACAUCAUAGGGGGGGUUGUGCCCUUAUGGGCAUAUAUAUCUGAUAGCUUCAACUGGCCUUGUUCCUAGAAAGAAAUUGCCAAAGAUAUAAACUUAUUCCAGGCUGAAAGUAGAUGAGAGUCAUAAUGAACAUCAACCUUUGUUCAGUUUGAUUCAAUGCCCCCAUAGUGUUCAUUUCACAGAUCUGAAUGAUUAUAUCCGUUGAAUACAUAAAUUAAUGAAGACAAAUAUGAAACCCAAGAUACAUCUCUGCAUAACAACCCCAACCCUGGUUGCUAUGUUUCCCUUCUUCUAUUCACAUGAGGAUACUGGUUAUAAUUGUCAAACUUGCAACAAGCCCUUUGACACCUAACGUCAAUGGACGAAUUAAAAGUCUCCUUCAAACGUCUAUUUCACAGCAUGAAGCUUAUAAAGGAUGCUGACAACCUUCAGAGUUAGCGACAAAAGAUAAUUAUCAAGGAGAGAUAGUUCCAUGAGAAUUCCAAGGAGUCUGAAUCAAAGACAAAUUGCUCACUCAAGGGUUCUUAUUUUCUUUUAGGUACAAAUCUCUUGAGUGUUGUUAAAGAAACACGUCACUGUCAUUUUGAUUUGCAUUUAACAUUUCACUUUUGUUCUGGAAGGUUUGUUCCGGAAACAUAUCAAAUGAGCAUCAUUUUCUUCUUCGGUGACACAUGGUCGCGAGUACGUGGGUCCAUUUUCAUGCCACUUAGUUGAAAAGUUGGAAAGAAAAAACAUGCCAACAAGAAGAUAGUGAGAGAAGGGGCACUUCAAGCCUUUAACAUGAACAAACAGUAAAUAAAAGAUGUUUCUCCACUCAUAAAAGUGUGUUAGAUAGCAAUAUAACGAAUCACAUCCAAAAUCUUUACUAGGCUCAAACAUAAAGAAGACUCAUUUUUAAGAAAAGAUAAAAAUGGCAUUGUCUGAUAGUAUCCAAUACACGAGAUGGCACUUAAUUUGUACAAGAUCUGUCAAUGCUGACGCACAUUUUCUGAUUAAAAAAAAACUGAUCAGUCAAAAGCAAUGAAGAGAAGUGAUGACAAUGAAUGAUGCUUCCAAUAUUUUCACCCCUUAUAGUGUUCUUCAUGAUUCAGAUAUAUAAUUGGAAAUAGAACAACCCUAUGCCAUACAUUCGUCUAAGUAUGGUGUCUAAUUUUUUGUGUCAGCGGUUGCGAAUGGAGCGUGCAAAAGUCCAAAUUGGCGUCUCUCCAUUUCCACAUAGGAAGGUGACCUUUAUUGACAAAUACCCAAUAUUUGUAGACAUUCCUUAAAUAUCAUAACUUCUUGUUGAUUUGAAAAUCAUUUUUCAACUACCAUGUUUUAAUAAAUAUUUUUUAAAAUGUAUUUUUAUCAAAGUCCACCAUGAUGGAUAAUAUUCACCAUGCAAUAAUUAAUAAAGUACAAACUAAGCGAAAUGAAAAGCAUUUUCUUUGCUUUGAGUUGAUUUUGGUUGCAUUGAGUUGAUUUUGGUUUCAUGGUUUUUUCAACUCUUAUUUUGAUUGGAAGAUGUCAAGAAAAGAAAACAUAAAGAAAAAUUAAAAGGGAAAAAAGAAGAAAAAUAAAAAAAAAUAGAUUUAAAAGUUAAUAAAUUAUUUUUUAUAUUUAUUUUAAUUCAUUUCACUUAUUUUUCUUUUACUAUAUAAAAUUUAAAUAAUUUAAAUUUUAUAAUUAAUUUAAUUACAUUUCAUUUUCUUCUAUAUUUAAAUAUUGGAAAAAUAUUUUACUUAAUAUUUUUUUCUUUAAUUUCUUUGGCAUUUUGGGAACCAAACUUAGCCUUUAAAAUAAAAAACAAAAAAAAAAUGAAAAUAAGGAGGGAAAAGUGAGAAAAGAUAAAAACAAUAUGUAAAGGAUUUGAAAAGUAUUAGUUUGUAAUUACUAUUUGGAUUUCAAUAGUAUUUUAUUUGUCUUUCUAUAUUUCAUGUAAGAGAGAAUUUAAGAUAUUCCCCAAGGCAAAGCAUUAGUUACCUGCAAUCAGUGGUGAUAAGGCUCCAAGCCAAUUUUGGGCCCCAUAUCUUAAGACAGUACAAUUUCCAUUUCAACAUUUCUGAUUUCUCAGAUGUUUCACAUACCACAGAAGAACAUUGUUUGUGAAAAUAUGCAUUUAUGUUGGAUUUUGUAUGCUGUGGGGACUGGGGCAAGGAUCAUAUGGAAGAGUGGUUGACUUUUUCUGUACUUUAACGGUUGAAAUAGGAUAAGCACGGGCAUUUGUGAGGCUUAAUUGAUUUUGAAGCCUGAAAUUGCGUUUCUGUCAUUUUGUCAAAAAAAUGGCAGAUUCCAUACUCAUAUGUUUGGCCUGUGGCCAUGUACAGAUGCCAUUUAGUGACCAGUUUGUAACUGUCAAUCGUUGCGUUUUGACUCUGCCUCAACAACAUCUGCCAUUGACGGGUUUUCAUACUUGCAAAUCAAAUAGUCUUUCGUCCCAUCAGGAAUUUCGGUUUAAAUAUUAUUAAGCAUACGUUUGGCUGACAAUCAUUAUCCAGUUCAUGAUUUGGUUUCUUACCCUUAAUCAAUGGUUUCUAAGUGAAUAUAUGUAGAAGGAAAUCCGAAGUGUAGACAGUAGUAUCGAUAACUCUCAAUAUUCUCUAUAUAAUAGAAUAAACAGCGUCAUAGUGAUCGUCGCCUACAAGCAAGGUACAAAUACCAAAACGAGUGACUCACAUAGACAUCUCCCAACAAGAUGUAGUAGUGACUGACACAUGGACACAAUUAACUCGUAGAAAAGGAUAAGACCAUUGCACAGCAGCUCUUAUUUUACAUACUACUUAUGCUAACCAAAGUCAAUUAGUUGGGAUGGGUGGGAGAUGGAGGUUUGUGCGGUGGCUUGUGGGGCGGAGUUGAUGGCUUCUUUCCAGGAGCUUCUGGCUUUUUCAUCGGAGCUGAAGGAGGCUCAAUCUUAUGAGGCGGCUUGUAUGAGUCUUCUUUACUCUCGACAGGAGGGUGGCCAGGGUUGUGAUCAUAAUGUGGUGGCUUCUCUCCCUUAGGUGGCUUGCCAACUGGGGUUGGUGGCUUGUGUUCAGGAAGUGGUUUCUCUCCCAUGGGAGGUUUAGCAAUUGGGGUUGGUGGCUUGUGUUCUGGGAGUGGCUUCUCUCCCUUGGGAGGUUUAGUAGGUGACUUGUGUUCUGGAGGUGGCUUCUCCACCGGAGGCUUGUGCUCCGGUGGUGGCUUCUUGGUUGGAGGGGGCUUGGGGUAAUCAGCAAGAGAUGGGGUGGUGAGAACCACCAGUCCAAGGAACAACACUAGCAAGUAUGUGGGAGACAUUUUUGAGUUUGGGCUGAUCAGAUGAUGCAAAACUAAAGCAUUACGUGACCUUUUAUAGCAUGUAGCUCCCAAUACCCACUAAGUAUUGUGGGGUCCAUUUGUGCCCUACGGGGUUGAAAACUUAGACAAUUGGGCAAGGACCCACCUGACUAUGGAGGACUAGUGAGGUGUGAUCAUAGCUUUAGGAUUUUUCUUCCUCUGCAGCCGUCGUGCCGUUGGCAUGAUUUUCUUAAUCUUAAAUAAAGGCAUAGUUAUAGAGUUGUUUAAUCUCUAAAUGGGAUUUUAUAUAUAUCUUCAGAUAGCCAUUAAUAUAUUUGAUGAAGAAAGAAAGACAAGUGCAUACAACAUGUAUACGACUAGCUUUCAUGGAGUUCAUUUAUGAUCAGUUUUCCUGUACAUGUAAACCAGGAUCAUAUAUAUGUUUCUGUUCCACAACUAUUUUGGAAUCUUGUUUAUCAGUUUUUAUCAUUAUAAUGUCACAUAGGCUGCCAACUUGGGCGCUAAAAGAACCAGUUGGGCUAGUUCGUUUCAGAAUUUCAAUGUGGAUUCAGGAAUUGUUUUGUAAGAUAUGCGAAAUAGUAGAGGGAUGAAUAGUGUUUCAUUAAUAAAAGUGUCCUGUAAAUUAGAAGGUGUCAUAGAAACUAUAAUCAAUAAAUAACUUUUUUUCCCCACGGGUGGUGUUUCUUGUGGGGAUCAGUGACUGGUUUAGGUUCACCCAAAAUGAGUUCAGACUAAAAUUGGUUUGAGUCAAUGCCGUGUCUCUUUUUUCCAGAAAUCAACUAUUUUAUGCAUUGAAUAAAUCAUACAAAGAAAAUAUGAACGCCCGCAAAACCUAAACCCUGGUUGCUAACUUUCUAUGUUUCAGUUCUAUUCACGCAAGAAUAUUAGUUUAAGUUUGGGAAAAAUGGCAACUUACCUAGUGAUUACUUGGUUUUGGUUUGCGACUAUUUACGCAACCAACCAUGAGUUUGACUUUAACGUCAUGGGUUGAAGCCUCCUACAGGAAGGGAGAAAGCUCCACAGCUAGCUCCAAAAGAGAAUUAUCACAUUGAUAGCUCCAGAGAUUCCCAAGGGGACUGAAUCAAAGACAAGUUCCUCACUUUUUCUUCUUUUGAGGCCAAAUAUGAACCAAGGAUCACACAACCUCAUUCAACUUCAUAAGUUUGAUUUCAUGCAGUUGAACACUGGGUGAAGGCCAUGACAAGAAUUGAUUCAAAAAUUCUAUCACUCUUUUAAGUAAUGGAAGAUUAUUAUCUCUGAUUGGCAUCACAACAGCACAUGCUCCUAGAUCUUUCUAGACACUCCAUGCAAUGAAAGCACAAUGGAUCUUGUAACGAUAGAAACUAAGCCAUGCUACAGUACUAGAUGAUGAGGUAAAACUAGUAGACACGGGUGGCAGCCUAUAUGGGAGGGACACAAGUCUAAUUGAUUUGCAUUUCAGCAUUAUAGAUAGGUAUGUUUUGGAAGAUUUGUUCUGGAAAUACCGCACCAAGUAGGAUUCUUUUUCUCUUUAGUGGGUCCACUUGCAUGCCAAUUAACGAGUUGAAAAGUAUGAGCACCUACCUCGUGCUCGUGGAACCGAAGGUCAGUGAAGUGGGGCUCCUUUUGGCCUCGUGUAAACUUGAUUCAGAAGUGAAGUUAAUAGUCUUCCAUUCAGAUGGAUACAUGGGAAUUUUUCUCUUUUAUUUAUUUAUUUAUUUUUUUUUUGUGUGUGUAUGUCAAAGGAUAAUGAAUGAAGCGCGUUAGCUUGUUUUCUGACUGGAACCGCAGAUGUCCAAAUUGGAGUUCCUUCAUUUCUUACUUAGGAUUGUUACAUGUAUAAACAAGGUAUAAGAAAUAUGCCAACGUGUCUUGAGGAGUUAUUGAUUAGAAAUAACAAGUCACCCGACUGUAGAGUUCCAAGAUUUGAAUCUUCAGACCCUAUAGCAGCCUCUGGGGUACGUGGCAUCCUAUAGCAUAUUAAUGAAGGCUUUUUCGAUUUAGACUUCACAAUACCAAUUAAUAUGUAUGCACAAAAUGGAGAUGACCCCAAAAAAAACAGAAUCGCCAUAGUUUAUGAGGUUAAGGUGAUUCUCCACUUAAUAUCUACAUUAGCUAAUUAUGUAAAUCAAAUGAACUUCUAUUUUUCCUUUUUUUUUUUGGUUUAUGUCAAAUAGUAGCCCAUAAUUAACCCAACCAUUAGCCUGUUUGAAUUGAUUUCACAUGCACAAUGUUGUAGUAGUUCAUAUUUUGAAUUUUAUUUUUACAAAGGUAGUUAAGGAAAAUGAAGUAUAAUAAUUAUAAAAGCAGACUAUAUACACUACAAUAAUUGUUAGAAUGGUAUCUCAAAUUCUAAUUUAAAAUAUUAUUUUUUGUAAAAGAAAUAUUAUAUAGAAUAUUUCCUAAUUUUAUAAAUGAUUAUAAUUAGAUCUUUAUAAAAUAAGGAAAGUUGGUAAGAAUAUCUUUAUAAAUAUUUUAGGUCAUGAGAGAAAGAAAUGGGAUAAAAAUGUGAUGAAGAGGUGAAAUAAGAGAGUUGAUUAGGAUAUAGAUGUGAAGAAGAAAGGGAUUCAAUAUAUAUAUAUCUUUCAAUUACCACAUUAAAACCCUGUGAACCUUUUAUAUGGUUUACUUUAUUUUUAUAUUCCUCCUUUAAUAUAUUUACAUUAAUGCUUCCAUUGGCACAACAAUAACGAAUUACAAAUACAAGCAACAAGUCCCAUGUUUUAUUACCAAAAGCAGGUAAAAUCCACCUAAUAUAUUACAAUAUAUUCAUCCAAUAUUUUAGACCAAUUCUUCACCAUAAAUAUCAUAAUGUGGCUUUUGUUCUUUCUUAAAUUUAAAUUGAAUUGUCUUAUAUCAAUUUGUUUGUGAUUUUUUCAUUAACUUCACUUUCAUUUGGUUAUCUUUGGUUUUUGAAAAGUAUUAAGGAAUUAAUUAACAAAAUAAUGUUAAGAAAAAUAAUUUUCUCUCUUUUGAUUUUGAUUUUGUAGUAGAAAAAUAUAAUUAAAAUUAUUUAAAAAGUAUGUAAUUUUAAAUUAUUUAAUAUUUAGAUAAAAAAAAUAAGUCUAAUGAGUUUAAAAUAACAUAUAAAAAUAAUUUAUUUAUUUUAAAUUUAUUUUUUAUUUUCCAUUAUGUUCUCUUUCUCUUUUACUUUUUCAUAUUUUUUCUUACGAAGAAUCAAACACAACCUCAUAUUAUAUGUCAAGUGUUUGUCUAUAUUUGAGCAAUGUUAGAUACGGCCAUGGAUUCAUCAAACUAAACUGAUUUUAAUAGAUACUUCACAAAUUGAUUUAUACACUAAAUCAUUGGAUAGCAAUGAUGCAUUGGAAUUAAACGUAGGAUGAAGCUCGAAGAACACUGUUUGUGUAACAACAUAUUUAUGAAAUUAUGCAAAGGAUGAGCUUCGGGGUAGUAGUACAAGGUCAUUAAUGGAGAGCCGUGUUAAACCUUGAUUGUGAUUGGAUUCCGUUAUCAGCAACAGCAACCUUGUUUGUAACCUUGAAAGUCAUUCUGUCCACAUCGAAACUCCAAUUUGACGUUUGUAAUUACCAUUCCUGGAGUGUUCCUUGAUUGAAAUUUAAAUAAUAAUUGCGGCCCACAAGGAAUAUUUUCGAUUCUGUGGGAAUUUGACAAGGUUUGUUAGAGAAGACUGGUGACAUGUUGACUUCAAUGGUUCAAAUAGGAGACGUAUGUGGAUUUGGGGGGUUUAAUUGAAACUGAGUCCCUAUGGCUUUUUAAUAUUUGCAUUGAGCAGUCUCCAUGUGACUUCCUAAUUCCCACCAACCCUCCUGUCCAUGCUGUGAAACUAAAUUGUAAUUUAUCAGCCUUUGUCAAUGGUUUCUAAAUUAAAGAUAUAGACCAUGCAUGUACUUUAAUAAAAGCAAAUCUAAAGUGUAGAUAGCAGCAAUGGUGACACCCAAUAUUCUCCAUAAAAUAGAAUUAGAAUAAGCAGUGUUACAUUGUUCAUGAUCACCUACAAGCAUACAAGAACUUCCAUGAAUAACUCAUAGCAAUUGCCAACAGGGCGUCGUAGAGACUCAUACAUAGAACACUAUCCACCCAGAGGAAAGGACAAGACCAGUGCGCUGCAGCUCUUAUUUUUCACAUGUAUACCACCACUCGUAAUAACCAAAUUCACUCAGUUGGGAUAGGUGGGAGAUGGUGGUUUGUGGGGUGGCUUGUGGGGAGGAGUUGGAGGAGGCUUUAUUUUCUGAGGCGGCUUGUAUGAGUGUGCAGGAGGAUGCCCGGGAGUGUGACCAUAAUGUGGUGGCUUCUCUCCCGUAGGUGGUUUGCCAAAUGGGCUUGGUGGCUUCUCUCCCUUAGGAGGUUUACCAAUUGGGGUUGGUGGCUUGUGUUCUGGGAGUGGUUUCUCUCCCUUGGUAGGUUUGCCAAUUGGGGUUGGCGGCUUAUGUUCUGGGAGUGGCUUCUCUCCCUUGGGAGGUUUGCUAAUUGGGGUUGGCGGCUUAUGUUCUGGGGGCGGCUUCUCUCCCUUGGGAGGUUUGCCAAUUGGAGUUGGCGGCUUAUGUUCUGGGAGUGGCUUUUCUCCCUUGGGAGGCUUGCCAAUUGGGGUUGGCGGCUUAUGUUCUGGGGGUGGCUUCUCUCCUUUAGGAGGUUUGCCAAUUGGAGUCGGCGGCUUAUGUUCUGGAAGUGGCUUUUUUCCCUUGGGAGGUUUGCCAAUUGGGGUUGGCGGCUUAUGUUCUGGGGGUGGCUUCUCUCCCUUGGGAGGUUUGCCAAUUGGAGUCGGCGGCUUAUGUUCUGGGAGUGGCUUCUCUCCCUUGGGAGGUUUUGUUGGUGGCUUGUGUUCUGGAGAUGGCUUCUCCCCUGGAGGCUUGUGCUCCGGAGGUGGCUUCUGAAAUGGCGGGGGCUUGGGGUAAUGAGCAAGAGAUGGAGUACUG